AUUUUGAUAAUCAGGAUAUUGUUCUGAACUUUGGAGCUCAUUGAAAUGACCAUUUCCAUGGUUUUUAUUUAAAUUAUCAACUUGAUCCCUAGGAUCUAUUGAAACUCCAUUAUCAGCUGAUUGAAGACUUGUCAUUUCAACAAUCAACUUUAUUCCACCAAUCACAAGUUAAUAAUUUUUGACUAAAGAUUGAUCCUAUUGGACAGAGAAAUGAAGAUACUAGAAAAUUUCCAUCACAAACAUGAAAUAGCUGACAUCCGGCCUCUUCAUCAGCAUAGUAUCCUGAGAACAUAAAAUAUACUAGUUAGAAAUUGUGGAUGAAUGAAUGAAUUGGGAAUUAGAAGUCACUUAUAUUCUUCAAAACCGGUUUUUAGCAAAAUAUACUACCAGACAGAUACUUCUGAAAAGAUGAUUAGAUGUUGAAGAAUUUAUAAAUUUUUAUUUUAAACUCAAUUGAGUAGAAAAUAAAAAUAAACAGUGAAAAAAUUGAUGGGCCAUCAGUUAGUUAAACGUUAACACAAUGAACUUUAACUAACUUUCGUAAUUUUGUAAUCAAGAUAAAUAUUUGUACGAUUGUCCAAGGUAAAACUAGUCUGAGGAAUUCUUGUAUAAGAUGGAUAAUCAAUUCCUGGUUCUCCCGGCACAUUACUUCGAUAGCUUGAAAAGUCUAGUUGGGUAUUGAGAAAUUUUUCGAAUUGUAAUAAUUGUCACUUCAAGAAUCUUGUAAACAAUCAUAAGGACAUUACCUGUUUCUUCAUCAUAACGAUCGUAAAUGUCAAAGGAAUCAUCUUCGUCAGGAUCAUAAUAUUUACUGCAAUUUAUUUCUCAUUCUAAAGUACCAAUUAAAAUAAUCAAAUAACCAAAAAUUAUUACGUCUAAUGAAUUACAUAUUUACCUUCCUCUGGUUCCAUCCACCGCUCGGCGAUAGGGAUAUGUUCUGCUUGGCUCUUCUUCACUGAUAAGAUCUAGUCCAUGAAUUCUCUCACAGAGAAUGAGAGUAACAGAGCCUGUGUUAAUUACACAAAUCAAAGAAGAUACAAAAACUAGCGAAUUCAAGGAAAUAUGUAGACAUGGAGUUUCAAGAAGAAUUGAAGUGAUCAAGAUCAUUAAUUUAUAACACUUACGUUAAAUUUUGCAAAC
This is a long non-coding RNA of Chelonus insularis, 1140 nucleotides long. RefSeq lists it as uncharacterized. The record is from RefSeq and is a predicted model, not a curated record. The transcript has 6 exons. Lineage: Eukaryota; Metazoa; Arthropoda; Insecta; Hymenoptera; Braconidae.